GUAAAAUUGUUCCGCAUCCCAGACAAAGUGAUGGCCACAACUGCAGACCACUCAUCUUAAAGAAAGCGUGGAGGACUACUGCAUAUAUUGCAACCUUAUCAACUGUGAAAAAGAAAGUGAGGAUUGUACGAUGGUCCAGUGUGAUUCUUGCAAGAGGUGGGCACAUAUACCCUGUAUUACAGAAGGAACCAAUCAAGAAAACCUGAUGAAUGAGAAGAAAGAGUACAACUGCAAGAAAUGUGCAUAGUUCUCUUCAUUACC
This is a long non-coding RNA of Mauremys reevesii (Reeves's turtle), 261 nucleotides long. RefSeq lists it as uncharacterized. The transcript has 3 exons. The record is from RefSeq and is a predicted model, not a curated record. NCBI's taxonomy places the organism in Eukaryota, Metazoa, Chordata, Testudines, Geoemydidae.